AACUCCGGUGGUACGGGAUGGACCCGCGUCUGAUUAGCUGGUUGGCGGGGUAACGGCCCACCAAGGCGACGAUCAGUAGCCGGCCUGAGAGGGCGGACGGCCACAUUGGGACUGAGACACGGCCCAAACUCCUACGGGAGGCAGCAGUGGGGAAUAUUGCACAAUGGGGGAAACCCUGAUGCAGCGACGCCGCGUGAGUGAAGAAGCGUUUCGGCGCGUAAAGCUCUGUCAGCGGGGAAGAAACACGGUUCGCGAGAGCCGCGGACGGUACCCGACCAAGAAGCCCCGGCUAACUACGUGCCAGCAGCCGCGGUAAUACGUAGGGGGCAAGCGUUAUCCGGAUUCACUGGGUGUAAAGGGAGCGUAGACGGCGAGACAAGUCUGGAGUGAAAGGCCGGGGCCCAACCCCGGGACUGCUCUGGAAACUGCCUGGCUGGAGUACAGGAGAGGUAAGUGGAAUUCCUAGUGUAGCGGUGAAAUGCGUAGAUAUUAGGAGGAACACCAGUGGCGAAGGCGGCUUACUGGACUGUAACUGACGUUGAGGCUCGAAAGCGUGGGGAGCAAACAGGAUUAGAUACCCUGGUAGUCCACGCCGUAAACGAUGAUCACUAGGUGUCGGGGGUUAGAAGGCCCCC
RNAcentral lists this ribosomal RNA (635 nucleotides) under uncultured bacterium. Its description in RNAcentral is "bacterial SSU rRNA". It matches the Rfam family "Bacterial small subunit ribosomal RNA", at positions 205 to 841 of the family's 1533-position model. The record is from RNAcentral.